ACGAACGCUGGCGGCAUGCCUAACACCUGCAAGUCGAACGAUUGCCUUCGGGUGAUAGUGGCGCACGGGUGCGUAACGCGUGGGAAUCUGCCCUUAGGUUCGGAAUAACAGCUGGAAACGGCUGCUAAUACCGGAUGAUAUCGCGAGAUCAAAGAUUUAUCGCCUGAGGAUGAGCCCGCGUUGGAUUAGGUAGUUGGUGGGGUAAAGGCCUACCAAGCCGACGAUCCAUAGCUGGUCUGAGAGGAUGAUCAGCCACACUGGGACUGAGACACGGCCCAGACUCCUACGGGAGGCAGCAGUGGGGAAUAUUGGACAAUGGGCGCAAGCCUGAUCCAGCAAUGCCGCGUGAGUGAUGAAGGCCCUAGGGUUGUAAAGCUCUUUUACCCGGGAAGAUAAUGACUGUACCGGGAGAAUAAGCCCCGGCUAACUCCGUG
This 434-nucleotide ribosomal RNA is filed under the name uncultured bacterium. Its description in RNAcentral is "partial 16S ribosomal RNA". It matches the Rfam family "Bacterial small subunit ribosomal RNA", at positions 29 to 507 of the family's 1533-position model. The record is from RNAcentral.